This is a long non-coding RNA of Acyrthosiphon pisum (pea aphid), 677 nucleotides long. RefSeq lists it as uncharacterized. NCBI's taxonomy places the organism in Eukaryota, Metazoa, Arthropoda, Insecta, Hemiptera, Aphididae. The record is from RefSeq and is a predicted model, not a curated record. The transcript is spliced from 3 exons.
UACAAAUAUCGAGAUUUGUCCACACAAAUAAGCCACAUCUGGACGGACGGACAUGGACGGGGUAUGAAGCACCCCGCCAGCCUGCGUCGGCGGCCCGGCGGACACACAUGGCCAAGACAGUGACCGUCGGACGAUCCGACGGAUGCACGUGGGCGAGACGACACAUUCCGAUGUGUAUACCGGUCGUAACGCGCAGGAUCCGCUCGAGUAUCGACCCUUUUAUUUAUACACAUGUGUGUAUAUCAAUCGGUGUACCCGCUCAAUAUUGCGCACGCCGAACGGUAUAAGUGGGGGUGGCCGUCGAUGGUGAUAAUUUUGGACACUUGUCCGCUGUCCACUCAAUAUUGAAUCAGUCCUAUUUUCUCUACAGCGCAAAACAGACCUCUCCAGAUAUCAUCACUCGACAGUUCAAAAUAUAAAUAUUACAACAUCUCCGUACGAAUAAAUUCUGAAUUCAUCAUCAUUCAACCAUAUCAAGACGGCUACAUCACCCGACUCUACACACACACGACGUCUAAUUAAAAAAUUAACUAUGGAUGUUUUAAAUUCGCUCCAGCGGCAGACGAACGUGUUGAAUCUCUCUAUUGGAGAGCUUACAAAGGACAUCGAAUAUCGUGUACAAUCCAUGAAUAAUGUGGAGACGAAAUUUGGAACGGCUGUGGCAUGCGUCUUACAGG